UACAGAGGUCCCGAGCGUUGUUCGGAUUCAUUGGGCGUAAAGGGUGCGUAGGCGGUUUGGCAAGUCUGAUGUGAAAUCCCGGGGCUCAACCCCGGAACUGCAUUGGAUACUGCCUUGCUAGAGUACUGGAGAGGGAACUGGAAUUUACGGUGUAGCAGUGAAAUGCGUAGAGAUCGGAAGGAAGGCCAGUGGCGAAGGCGAGUUCCUGGACAGUUACUGACGCUGAGGCACGAAGGCCAGGGGAGCAAACAGG
RNAcentral lists this ribosomal RNA (253 nucleotides) under uncultured bacterium. RNAcentral's name for it is "partial 16S ribosomal RNA". It matches the Rfam family "Bacterial small subunit ribosomal RNA", at positions 524 to 776 of the family's 1533-position model. The record is from RNAcentral.